This 449-nucleotide ribosomal RNA is filed under the name uncultured bacterium. RNAcentral's name for it is "partial 16S ribosomal RNA". It matches the Rfam family "Bacterial small subunit ribosomal RNA", at positions 331 to 795 of the family's 1533-position model. The record is from RNAcentral.
CCAGACUCCUACGGGAGGCAGCAGUGGGGAAUAUUGCACAAUGGGGGGAACCCUGAUGCAGCGACGCCGCGUGGGCGAGGAAGUAUUUCGGUAUGUAAAGCCCUAUCGGCAGGGAAGAAGAAAUGACGGUACCUGAAUAAGAAGCACCGGCUAAAUACGUGCCAGCAGCCGCGGGAAUACGUAUGGUGCAAGCGUUAUCCGGAUUUACUGGGUGUAAAGGGAGCGUAGACGGUACGGCAAGUCUGAAGUGAAAGCCCAGGGCUUAACCCUGGGACUGCUUUGGAAACUGUUAGACUAGAGUGCUGGAGAGGGAAGUGGAAUUCCUAGUGUAGCGGUGAAAUGCGUAGAUAUUAGGAGGAACACCAGUGGCGAAGGCGGCUUACUGGACAGUAACUGACGUUGAGGCUCGAAAGCGUGGGGAGCAAACAGGAUUAGAUACCCUAGUAGUA